GAAAAGGGACAGCUAGGAAUAGAGCCAGACUCCCGAAAAGCUCAUGGCCACAAACAGUAAACUGGACAAAGUUGGGUGGAUUUGUUAGCAAAUAAUUGACAUUUGUCAUAUUUGUGGUUCUCUGUAUGAGGACAUGGUAUGAGUCUUGCUCACUAAGGAUGGAAACAAAAAGCCUUCCCAGUGAAUGGAGGCAUGCUCAGUGUGUAGUGUUAGCUACACCAGCCAGACACCAAACCCAGCUGAAAUGAGGCCUUGGUUAUCGGGCAGAGGACACUCUGGUGACUACGGAGAGCAUUACAGAAAGAAAGAGUCAGCCUGAGAGUUGUGCCUACCUCUGCACAGCAUCUAGGCUGUUAGCAGCAAUGAGCUCACACCUUCUCUUGGGUAGUUUGGGCACAGUUCCAGUUUAUGCUGCCAUUGAGCCCAUUUUCUAGUCUUCUAGGGGAUUCAAAGCUUCCUGUCACCAAACAAAAUCUCCUUCCGGUUCCAACUAACCCUGGUGGAUUCUUUUGCUCAUCAGCAGGAGUUCUGCAGGGCAGAAGUGAAGUCAUGUAGUCAAAACAUUGUGUCUCCAACUGUUGAGGGUCAGAUGUGUGACAUAAGAAAAUGCUAAGGGUACGUGUUCUCCAUGGUACACCCGAGUGUACCAUUGGCAGAGAACAACAGAUGGUUCCCAGAAGUUGUUCCCUGGGGCCAAAUUCAGCUUCCUUUUCUGUGAUGGCUCAAGCACCCUUUCUCUGGAAGCCUACCCUUCCCGUCCCUCUCCCCCCAAGCAUUUCCACUGAAUACCUUGGCAUUCAAAGAGCCUACAACUCAUGGUAACUGAGAGGGAAUGUCCCUUCCCUGCCAUUUGCCCACAGUUGAUGAAACAGAAAACAUGCAACAUUCAUGGCACUUCAAAGAAAGGAAGAAAAACUAAUUUCUGACUCUACUCCUCUUCUGCCUCAACAAAGCUACUGGAAGCCACUACAAGCAGGUGUGGGUGGAUCAACAGGGAGCUCCUGCGGUGGCAAAUAGGAGGCAGGAUGGAACAUGGAUGGCACGGCUCUUCUCCCUCUUCAGCAGGCUAGUUGGGGCCACCAUGAGGUGAAUAGGCCUCCUCUGCCAUGACUUUCCAUCUCCUUGUCUCUCUGGCCCCUGGCCAUCAUGGGGUGAACAGACCUCCUUUUCUAUGAUGUACUCUACAAGCCCAAAGCAGCAGGAUGAAGAGAUCAUGGCCUGAAAUCACAUAAACUAGAAGUCAAAACAAACUUUUCCCUCCAAGUUGAUUGUCUUGGUUAUUUGUCACAGUGUUGGAAAGAUAGUGAGUGAUUAA
Cricetulus griseus (Chinese hamster) is the source of this 1315-nucleotide non-coding RNA. The record is from RefSeq and is a predicted model, not a curated record. Lineage: Eukaryota; Metazoa; Chordata; Mammalia; Rodentia; Cricetidae.